GGUAUGACAGGCCUGUGAGAGUCUCCUUUGGGAUUUCUUUAAGAACUUUUGUAAGGGAUGAGAGGUGAGUGCUUCUUGUUGAGAGAGAGGGUUUAUAUAUAAGAGUUGAGAGUGUAUAAUCUUCUCUUGUAUUUAUUUUCUUUCUCAUUGUAAAAUCUUGUAUAUCCCGUGGAGCUAAGCCUUGGGCUGAUCUAUGUAUUUGAUUGUGUUUUUUUUAUUUUUUUCUUUCUUUCUACUGUA
This 240-nucleotide long non-coding RNA is filed under the name Elaeis guineensis (African oil palm). RNAcentral describes it as "long non-coding RNA (EGUI_LNC038811)". The record is from RNAcentral. Lineage: Eukaryota; Viridiplantae; Streptophyta; Magnoliopsida; Arecales; Arecaceae.